AUCUUGAACUAUUGAUUUUGCUAGUUGUGUUUUAAUAUUGUAAGUAAAUUAUUUAUGCACAUUGAUGUGCUACAGAUACUAUUCCAGUGAGCCUUGGAUUGUUCCAUUGGCCAACAUAUGCAGACAUUUGUACUAUCAAACCAUUUUCUCUAAGCAGUGGGCAUUCUACAAUUAUUCAAUCUUCCAAAAAUUCCGGUUUGGUUCUUUAUGAAACAUAAUUCAGCAGGCUGAAGAAAAUGGUUCUUGUAUACAGCGGGCUGUUGUCCUCUAGGGUACUUGAGUAUGUAAAAACAAAAAAAAAGCUGUAGAAUAAAAUAAACUUGUGCCAUUAGUCUUUAUAUGUUUCUGCUUCAGAGAAGGAGCAGGCCAUAAGAGGAAAAAAAGGUGUUAAAGUGAUGAUAAAUUUUUAUACCAAAUGUGUUUAUUUUUUUGUGCAAGUAAUCCUUUAAAUUUGAAUUGUAUUAGGUGUUAAAAUAAAACAACCUCAACUCCUCAAAUUAAUGUUUCCUGUACAUUUGUCAAAAAUACAGGAUUAUCCCUGGAAUGGUUUCAGAAGACUAUAGCUAUGUUUGCUUAAGAAAUUCCUAUGCAGGACCCACGUGAGGGAUGGUUAUACAGGAGGACGGUUCUCUGGUGGCUGGCUGGAUAAUUAAUACAUGUAUAGGCAAAUAUUGUUUGCCUUCAUGUUGAUCAGUGGCACCUGCUUAAAUGGGCACAAAAGUUGUUUUCCAUGUGGUUAAAAAAAGCCCCAACACCUACUGUGUCAGGAGAUGUCCACAGGCAGGAUUCUCUUUGUAUUUUCAUGGCAGCGGUGGAAAUAAGAAGGGGAGAAGAUAAACCAUGGUAAAUAUGUGCAGCUGCCAUAUUUCUUCCUGGACCAUGGUGUUCGUGUAGAAACCAGCACAUGGUUCAGGAAAGAAGAAAUGGACUUCAUCCUGCUUGUAGGCUGCCUAGGGUGACAGGGAGGAUCAUGUUAGGAAGCCUCAGUGCAGGCCCAUGAAUUGUUGGAUCUGUGAGUUGUACCUGUUGUAAGUACAGGACCAGAAAACUAAUCUUUAAAUUAGACCCCUGACUGUGAAUAUAAUGGAAAGAUUUUCUAUGGGUUUUUUCCACUAGCUUAUUUUGGACACAGUUGGUAGGUCUCCUUUCACUGACAAUUUCCUUUUGUUUUUGUAUGGCUCUUUCAUGCAUCAGCAUUGAACAGUAACAAGAUUAUGACUCUUUUUUCUCCUUCUUCCUUCCAUUACUAAAAAAACUACACUUUCCAUUGGAAUAAAGAUUUUACUUUAGCACUAGGUUGCUCUUUGGGCUCUGAGGCUGAAGGACCAUGGCCUUCAUGUGAUAGCUUUCUAAACCCAUGCAGAGGAGAAGAGAAGGAGAGAAGCAGUGUUUCAGUGUAUGACUGUGCAAAUAGUGUCCAGGAAAUAAAGAGUUAGGCUCAUUAGUAGUAGGAACAUGUGCAGAAAAUGCAGGUUUUGCCCAAACCAAAAUGAAGUCAGGCUUCUGUUGCAGCGUUUAUUUAAAAAUGAAAAAAGGGCAUUUUAAAUCCAUGAACUGGGGAAAAGCAGAUGUGUAAGAAGGAAAAUGUGAUUACGGAUGAUAAAUAGACUUUGGUAAAAGAAUAGGAUAAAAGUUGGUGAAAAUAAACAACAAAGAGCAGUGUAACUAAGGUUCCAUUAAAACCGGGAACGGAGCCUGCUGUGUGUGCAUUUCUGUGCAAAACUCAGUCUAAAAAAACACUUGAGAACUAGGAUAUCUGGUUUCAAGUGAGCCUAUGGAGACAAUAGAGAUAACAAACUAUUUGUUCUGGUGGAAACUGGUGCCAUGCUAUGAAUUGAAGUUAAAUAUGCAGCAGCUAAUCUAGACUCUCUUUGACUGAAUGUCUUAAGUCUCUAGGGCUAAAAAGUAAGUCCCUUGAGAAUAUACAUCAAAAUCCCUCACUCUGAUGGUAACCUUGCCUGAGAUGGUGCAGAGAUUGCAAAUCCAAAAUAUUUCAAUUUUUAGUGUGAUCGUUGGUUCACUGUUUCAUUGGACAAUGUAUUUUUUCAUGGAGGAGCUAGUUAAGAGA
Amazona collaria (yellow-billed parrot) is the source of this 2068-nucleotide long non-coding RNA. NCBI's taxonomy places the organism in Eukaryota, Metazoa, Chordata, Aves, Psittaciformes, Psittacidae. The record is from Ensembl.